This 301-nucleotide ribosomal RNA is filed under the name uncultured bacterium. RNAcentral describes it as "partial 16S ribosomal RNA". It matches the Rfam family "Bacterial small subunit ribosomal RNA", at positions 509 to 807 of the family's 1533-position model. The record is from RNAcentral.
CAGUCGCCGCGGUAGUGCGUAGGGUGCGAGCGUUGUCCGGAUUUAUUGGGCGUAAAGGGCUCGUAGGUGGUUGAUCGCGUCGGAAGUGUAAUCUUGGGGCUUAACCCUGAGCGUGCUUUCGAUACGGGUUGACUUGAGGAAGGUAGGGGAGAAUGGAAUUCCUGGUGGAGCGGUGGAAUGCGCAGAUAUCAGGAGGAACACCAGUGGCGAAGGCGGUUCUCUGGGCCUUUCCUGACGCUGAGGAGCGAAAGCGUGGGGAGCGAACAGGCUUAGAUACCCGCGUAGUCCCUGUCUCUUAUAC